This 73-nucleotide transfer RNA is filed under the name Perkinsus olseni. RNAcentral describes it as "tRNA-Arg". It matches the Rfam family "tRNA". From Rfam's summary of the family: Transfer RNA (tRNA) molecules are approximately 80 nucleotides in length. The record is from RNAcentral. Lineage: Eukaryota; Perkinsozoa; Perkinsida; Perkinsidae.
GGUCUCGUGGCCUAACGGAUAAGGUAUUGAUCUUCGGGACCACAGACUGUGGGUUCGAGUCCCACCGAGAUCG